Non-coding RNA from Mycena floridula, 84 nucleotides. NCBI's taxonomy places the organism in Eukaryota, Fungi, Basidiomycota, Agaricomycetes, Agaricales, Mycenaceae. The record is from the annotation of a GenBank genome assembly.
GGGCGUUUAGCGCAGUGGUAGCGCGUAUGCUUUGCACAAAAGCGUCUAUGUAUAAGGUCCAGGGUUCAAUCCCCUGAACGUCCA